This 334-nucleotide ribosomal RNA is filed under the name uncultured bacterium. RNAcentral describes it as "partial 16S ribosomal RNA". It matches the Rfam family "Bacterial small subunit ribosomal RNA", at positions 338 to 689 of the family's 1533-position model. The record is from RNAcentral.
CCUACGGGUGGCAGCAGUGGGGGAUAUUGCACAAUGGGGGAAACCCUGAUGCAGCGACGCCGCGUGAGUGAAGAAGUAUUUCGGUAUGUAAAGCUCUAUCAGCAGGGAAGAAAAUGACAGUACCUGACCAAGAAGCCCCGGCUAACUACGUGCCAGCAGCCGCGGUAAUGCGUAGGGGGCAAGCGUUAUCCGGAUUUACUGGGUGUAAAGGGAGCGUAGGGGGUAGUGUAGGUUUGGGGGGAAAGCCCGGGGCCCAACCCCGGGCCUGCUAUGGAAACUGUCUAACGGGAGUACAGGAGGGGGAGGGGGAAUGCGUGGUGUAGCGGGGAAAUGC